This 339-nucleotide unclassified non-coding RNA is filed under the name uncultured fungus. RNAcentral's name for it is "sequence contains 5.8S rRNA gene". The stretch from base 1 to 53 matches the Rfam family "5.8S ribosomal RNA", at positions 102 to 154 of the family's 154-position model. Lineage: Eukaryota; Fungi. The record is from RNAcentral.
GAACGCAUAUUGCGCUCUUUGGUAUUCCGAAGAGCAUGCUUGUUUGAGUAUCAGUAAACACCUCAACCUCCUCUUGUUUUUUCAAAAGGAGGGUGGACUUGAGCUAUCCCAACAACCUUCACCGGUAGGCGGGCGGCUUGAAAUGCAGGUGCAGCUGGACUUUUAUCUGAGCUAAAAGCAUAUCUAUUUAGUCCCGUCAAACGGAUUAUUACUUUUGCUGCAGCUAAUAUAAAGGGAGUUUGACCGUUUUGGCUGACUGAUGCAGGAUUUCACAAGGGUCGGCAACGAUUCUUGUAAAACUCGAUCUCAAAUCAAGUAAGACUACCCGCUGAACUUAAG